Molecule: ribosomal RNA, 460 nt
Filed under: uncultured bacterium
Lineage: Bacteria
Description: partial 16S ribosomal RNA
Rfam family: Bacterial small subunit ribosomal RNA
Source: RNAcentral
CCUACGGGAGGCAGCAGUGAGGAAUAUUGGUCAAUGGACGAGAGUCUGAACCAGCCAAGUAGCGUGAAGGAUGACUUCCCUCUGGGUUGAAAACUUUUUUUAUAAAGGAAUAAAACGAGGCACGUGUGCCUUUUUGCAUGUACUUUUUGAAUAAGGACCGGCUAACUCCGUGCAAGCAGCCGCGGUAAUACGGAGGAUCCGAGCGUUAUCCGGAUUUAUUGGGUUUAAAGGGAGCGUAGAUGGGUUGUUAGGUCAGUUGUGAAAGUUUGCGGCUCAACCGUAAAAUUGCAAUUGAUACUGGCAGUCUUGAGUACAGUUGAGGUAGGCGGAAUUCGUGGUGUAGCGGUGAAAUGCUUAGAUAUCACGAAGAACCCCGAUUGCGAAGGCAGCUUACUAAACUGUAACUGACAUUGAUGCUCGAAAGUGUGGGUAUCAAACAGGAUUAGAUACCCUGGUAGUC